This is a non-coding RNA of Ceratotherium simum simum (southern white rhinoceros), 123 nucleotides long. NCBI's taxonomy places the organism in Eukaryota, Metazoa, Chordata, Mammalia, Perissodactyla, Rhinocerotidae. The record is from RefSeq and is a predicted model, not a curated record.
GGGCCGGCCCCCCAAGAUAUUUUUCAUGAAGCUCCCAGUUUCAAAGUCUCAUCAGAUUACAUUCUCUAUAAAUGAUCCUUUGUAGACAUGAUUUUCCUAGAGGGAGGUGUGGAGAAAGUGGCU